This 497-nucleotide ribosomal RNA is filed under the name uncultured bacterium. RNAcentral describes it as "partial 16S ribosomal RNA". It matches the Rfam family "Bacterial small subunit ribosomal RNA", at positions 28 to 507 of the family's 1533-position model. The record is from RNAcentral.
GAUGAACGCUGGCGGCGUGCCUAAUACAUGCAAGUCGAGCGAACGGACGAGAAGCUUGCUUUUUUGAUGUUAGCGGCGGACGGGUGAGUAACACGUGGAUAACCUACCUAUAAGACUGGGAUAACUUCGGGAAACCGGAGCUAAUACCGGAUAAUAUUUUGAACCGCAUGGUUCAAAAGUGAAAGACGGUCUUGCUGUCACUUAUAGAUGGAUCCGCGCUGCAUUAGCUAGUUGGUAAGGUAACGGCUUACCAAGGCGACGAUGCAUAGCCGACCUGAGAGGGUGAUCGGCCACACUGGAACUUAGACACGGUCCAGACUCCUACGGGAGGCAGCAGUAGGGAAUCUUCCGCAAUGGGCGAAAGCCUGACGGAGCAACGCCGCGUGAGUGAUGAAGGUCUUCGGAUCGUAAAACUCUGUUAUUAGGGAAGAACAUAUGUGUAAGUAACUGUGCACAUCUUGACGGUACCUAAUCAGAAAGCCACGGCUAACUACGUG